GACAAGUUGUCAAUGGCUUGUUGACAACUUGCUACAAGGUUGCUGAGCUCAACAGACUUGUUACAAGUUGUUCCAACAACUUGUUAUCGUCCUGCAAUUCAGCAACUUGUCAACAAGUUGUGAGUGACAACCUUGUAGCAACUUGAUAAAAUAACAGCAUUGUUACAACUUGUUGGCAAGCUUGCCACAAGCCUGUUGCGAACACAUCUUGUUGACAAGUUGACAAGAGAUUUUCAC
Molecule: non-coding RNA, 237 nt
Organism: Paramuricea clavata
Lineage: Eukaryota; Metazoa; Cnidaria; Anthozoa; Malacalcyonacea; Plexauridae
Source: the annotation of a GenBank genome assembly